This 253-nucleotide ribosomal RNA is filed under the name uncultured Aquicella sp. Its description in RNAcentral is "partial 16S ribosomal RNA". It matches the Rfam family "Bacterial small subunit ribosomal RNA", at positions 524 to 776 of the family's 1533-position model. Lineage: Bacteria; Pseudomonadati; Pseudomonadota; Gammaproteobacteria; Legionellales; Coxiellaceae. The record is from RNAcentral.
UACAGAGGGUGCAAGCGUUAAUCGGAUUUACUGGGCGUAAAGGGCGCGUAGGCGGUUGAGUGAGUGUGAUGUGAAAGCCCCGGGCUUAACCUGGGAAGAGCAUCGCAAACGACUUAACUGGAGUAGGUGAGAGGGUGGCGGAAUUUCCGGUGUAGCGGUGAAAUGCGUAGAGAUCGGAAGGAACGUCAAUGGCGAAGGCAGCCACCUGGCACCAUACUGACGCUGAGGCGCGAGAGCGUGGGGAGCGAACAGG